UUAUUGGAGAGUUUGACCCUGGCUCAGGUAUGAACGCUGGCGGCGUGCCUAAUACAUGGCAAGCGAGCGAAUGGAUUCAAGAGCUUGCUUGCUUAUGAAGGUUAGCGGCGGACGCGAGUAACACGUGGUAACCUGCCCAUAAGACUGAUAACUCCGGGAAACCGGGCUAAUACCGAUAACAUUUUACGCUGGUUCGAAAUGAAAGGGCGGCUUCGGCUGUCACUUAUGGAGGACCCGCGUCGCAUUACUAGUGGUGAGGUAACGGGCUCACCAAGCAACGAUGCGUAGCCGACUGAGAGGUGACGGCCACACUGGACUGAGACACCUGAGACAGCCCAGACUCCUAGGAGGCAGCAGUAGGGAUCUUCCGCAAUGGACCGAAAGUCUGACGGAGCAACGCCGCGUGAGUGAUGAGCUUUCGGGGUCGCUAAAAACUCUUUGUUAUGGGAAAGAACAAUGCAGUUGAAUAAGCUGGGCACCUUGACGUACCUAACCAGAAAGCCACGGCUAAACUACGUGCAGCAGCCCGCGGUCAAAUACGUAGGUUGGCAAGCGUUUAUUUCCGGAAUUAUUGGGCCGUUAAAGCGCGCGCAGGUGGUUUCUUAAGUCUGAAUGUGAAAGCCCGGCUCAACCGUGGAGGGGUCUUUGGAAACUGGGAGACUGAGUGCAGAAGACGCGAAAGGGGAAUUCCAUGUGUAAGCGGUGAAAUGCGUUAGAGAUAUGGAGAAACCCAGUGGCGAAGGCGCCUUCUGGUCUGUAACUGACACUGAGGCGCGGAAAGCGUGGGGAGCAAACAGGUAUUAGAUACCCUGGUAGUCCACGCCGUAAACGAUGAGUUUGGGCUAAGUUUAGAGGUUUCCGCCCUUUUAUUUGCUGAAGUUAACGCAUUAACACUCGCCUGCGGGGAGUACGGCCGCCAAGGCUGGAAACUUCAAAGGAAUUGACGGGGGGCCCGCACAAGCGGUGGAGCCAUGUGGUUUAAUUUCGACAGCAACGCGAAGAACCUUACCAGCGUCUUUGACAUCCUCUGAAAACCCUAGAGAUAGGGCUUCUCCUUUCGGGAGCAGAAGACAGGUUGUGCAUGGUGUCGUCAGCUCGUUCGUUGAGAGUUGGUUAAGUCCCGCAACGAGGCAUACCCUUGAUCUUAGUUGCCAUCAUUAAGUUGGGCACUUCUAAGGUGACUGCCGGUGACAAACCGGAAAGGUGGGGUUGACGUCAAAAUCAUCAUGCCCCUUAUGGACCGGGCCUACCACACGUGCUACAAUUGGACGUACCAAAGAGCUUGCAAAGACCGCGAGGUGGAGUAAUUCAUAAAACCGUUCCUCAGUUCGGAUUGUAGCUGCAACUCGCCUACCAUGAAGCCUGAAUCGCUAGUAAUCGCGGAUCAGCAUGCCGCGGGUGAAUACGUUCCCAGGCCUUGUACAACACCGCCCGUUCACACCACGAGAGUUGUAACACCCGAAGUCGGUGGGGUAACCUUUUUGGAGCAGCCGCCUAAGGUCGGACAGUGAUUUGGGCGUGAAGUCUAACAAGGGUAAGCCGAUAUCGGAAGGUUGCGUGGCUGGAUCACCUCCUUUC
This 1578-nucleotide ribosomal RNA is filed under the name Bacillus sp. UFRGS-B20. Its description in RNAcentral is "bacterial SSU rRNA". It matches the Rfam family "Bacterial small subunit ribosomal RNA". The record is from RNAcentral. Lineage: Bacteria; Bacillati; Bacillota; Bacilli; Caryophanales; Bacillaceae.